AUUAUUAAAUAGCCGCAUUUGUGCUAAGGUAGCAUAAUCACUCGUCUUUUAAUUGAAGACUAGAACAAAAGAUUUAAUAUUUAAAUUAAUUUUUCUAAAUAAAGAAUCAAAAUUAUCUUAAAUGUAAAAAGACAUUUAUUUUUAAGAAAAACGAUAAGACCCUAUUGAACUUAACUUCAGUUAAACUGGGGCAGUAAAGUAAUUAUCAUUUUACAAAAACUUCAUACAUCAAAAUCCGAUUAAAUCGACUAAUUCAGUUACCAUAGGGAUAACAGCGCAAUUAUUUUUUCAAGUCCUCAUUCUAAAAAUAUCUUACGACCUCGAUGUUGAAUUAAUUACCUAUUUAAAGCAAGAUUUACUUAAGGAAGUCCGUUCGACUUUUAAAUAAUUACAUGAUUUGAGUUCAGACCGGUGUAAGCCAGGUCGGUUUCUAUUUUCUAUAUAAAUUUUUACAGUACGAAAGGACCUAAAAAAUUAAUUUAAUUAUCUUAUUGGCAGAAAAAUGCAUUAGAAUUAGAAUCUAACAAAACUUAA
This 534-nucleotide ribosomal RNA is filed under the name Corticattus latus. Its description in RNAcentral is "partial 16S ribosomal RNA". The stretch from base 145 to 439 matches the Rfam family "Archaeal large subunit ribosomal RNA", at positions 2154 to 2717 of the family's 2987-position model. The record is from RNAcentral. Lineage: Eukaryota; Metazoa; Arthropoda; Arachnida; Araneae; Salticidae.